UAGAAAAAAACUUAUAAAUAAGGAAAGAGAGGGAUUCGA
Molecule: transfer RNA, 39 nt
Filed under: Tridontium tasmanicum
Lineage: Eukaryota; Viridiplantae; Streptophyta; Bryopsida; Scouleriales; Scouleriaceae
Description: partial tRNA-Ser
Source: RNAcentral